AUGGCUCGAACCAAGUGUACAGCUCGUAACUCCACUGGAGGGAAGGCUCCUACCAAGAACCUUAGGGCUUUUAAAUCAAAAUUAUUUGUUUUGCGACGAGAGGCUGCCGCUCGUAAAACAGCUCCAGCAAUUGGAGGAGUCAAGAAGCCCCGCAGAUAUCGCCCUGGAACUGUUGCUCUUCGUGAAAUUCGCAAGUAUCAGAAGGGCACCGAGUUGCUCAUAAAGAAGCUACCUUUUCAAAGGCUCGUCAGGGAGAUUGCUCAAGUUUUCAAGAUUGAUCUGCGCUUCCAAAGCCAUGCGGUGCUUGCUUUGCAGGAGGCAGCGGAAGCAUACCUUGUGGGACUAUUUGAGGACACCAAUCUAUGUGCCGUUCAUGCGAAGCGCGUGACCAUUAUGUCCAAAGAUGUUCAUCUGGCUAGGAGGAUCCGUGGCGAGAGGAUGUAA
This 444-nucleotide ribosomal RNA is filed under the name Triticum aestivum (bread wheat). RNAcentral describes it as "partial small subunit ribosomal RNA". The record is from RNAcentral. Lineage: Eukaryota; Viridiplantae; Streptophyta; Magnoliopsida; Poales; Poaceae.